Molecule: ribosomal RNA, 531 nt
Filed under: uncultured Flavobacteriaceae bacterium
Lineage: Bacteria; Pseudomonadati; Bacteroidota; Flavobacteriia; Flavobacteriales; Flavobacteriaceae
Description: bacterial SSU rRNA
Rfam family: Bacterial small subunit ribosomal RNA
Source: RNAcentral
AGAGACCGGCGCACGGGUGCGUAACGCGUAUGCAACCUACCUUUUACAGAGGGAUAGCCCAGAGAAAUUUGGAUUAAUACCUCAUGGUAUAAUUGAAUCGCAUGGUUUAAUUAUUAAAGUUCCAACGGUAAAAGAUGGGCAUGCGUCCUAUUAGCUAGAUGGUAAGGUAACGGCUUACCAUGGCUACGAUAGGUAGGGGUCCUGAGAGGGAGAUCCCCCACACUGGUACUGAGACACGGACCAGACUCCUACGGGAGGCAGCAGUGAGGAAUAUUGGACAAUGGGCGCAAGCCUGAUCCAGCCAUGCCGCGUGCAGGAAGACGCAUCUAUGGUGUGUAAACUGCUUUUGUACGGGAAGAAACACUCCCUCGUGAGGGAGCUUGACGGUACCGUAAGAAUAAGGAUCGGCUAACUUCGUGCCAGCAGCCGCGGUAAGACGAAGGAUCCAAGCGUUGUCCGGAUUUACUGGGUUUAAAGGGUGCGUAGGCGGAUGCUUAAGCCAGUGGUGAAAUCUCUCAGCUCAACUGAGAA